UAAAACCUCAAUUUAGUUUGCCUAGUAUGAAGUAUCCCAUAAAAACAAAACAAAACAAAACGUCUUCUCUUUUCCCCCUAAUUUGCUGUCUUUUCCUCUCUGAACCAAAUUGAACCAGUGGACAAAUAGGUCCCAAUGCUUCUUGCAUAUGACCACAAGCUUGGGCAUGUCAGCUGCCUCUGCUCUCCUCUCUAGAUGACAGAUACAUCAGGUCUGGGUUCAGCUGCAGGGCCUCAGGAGAGCAAGAGGAAGCUGCUCUCAUCCUGGCCCAGUGUUGAGAAGUGUAUUGCAGGGAGAGUUUCCAGCUCCACUGGGAGCCGGCUGGUGGAUUUGCCCUGCGCUCUGGCCAUGUGAGAAGCUGUUGUCUCAGACCUCUUUGAACUUUCUAACUUUCUAACUGAAGCCCACUACAAGUCUGAAACAUUUUCCAUUGUCCAGUAACAUUUCCUUUGGUCUCUCCUCUGUGUCUGUUUCUUGAGGACGAUGGUGUAAGAGGAACUCAGAAGGCCGAGGAUGAGAUUAAAAAAGCGAAUUUGGGCGAUAACGCUCAGACUAGAUAUAAGCUCUAGUGGUGUUGGUUGUGUUCUGGAAGACCUGAGGGACACAACGGCUACCAUGCACAUCUGCAUCCUGUAUGUGGCUGAGGGGGAGCCUCACGGAUUUAUGAAGAAUCCAGAAAUGUGUGUCAUCAUUAUGGAAAAAGGGCGACACAGAUCCACUGAUUGGUGGAGUUUGGAUCAGAGCACAGGAAGAAGUCAAGCUAAGCAGUCACGAGCAAGAGAACAUUCGGCUCCUCUCUCAUCCGCCACAUACUUGACCCACAGUAACUCCGCUUUGACAGAGCAUCACAGCUUUUCUGUCUUUGUUGAAGAAGGCUGA
Molecule: long non-coding RNA, 879 nt
Organism: Cyprinus carpio (common carp)
Lineage: Eukaryota; Metazoa; Chordata; Actinopteri; Cypriniformes; Cyprinidae
Source: Ensembl